GCCUCAAUAGCUCAGUUGGUUAGAGCACAUGACUGUUAAUCAUGGGGUCCGAGGUUCGAGUCCUCGUUGAGGCGCCA
Molecule: transfer RNA, 77 nt
Filed under: Mycoplasmatota bacterium
Lineage: Bacteria; Bacillati; Mycoplasmatota
Also listed under: 1 other name
Description: Tenericutes bacterium (marine metagenome) tRNA-Asn
Rfam family: tRNA
About the family: Transfer RNA (tRNA) molecules are approximately 80 nucleotides in length.
Source: RNAcentral